GGGAAGGUGAACAGGCAGACAACAAAGGAUUGUCAGGGCAGUGAAACUGCUCUUUACGAUACUGUGACGGUGGAUAGAUGCCAUUAUACAUUUGUCCAAAAUCAUAGAGUAUACACCACCAGGAGUGAUCGCUAGUGUAAACUGCGGACUUUGGGUGACAAAGAUGUGUCCAUAGUGAGCACUGGAAGGAAUCUCUCUCACACACACACCACCCCCGCCAUAUCUUUUUCUGAGAGAUGGAAGGAAGAAAAGAAGGAAGAAGAGAUCUUUGACCUGCUGGGAGGAGCAGCAUCUUGCCAUGAGGAGGGUGUAAUUAUCCCACACCCAGUCCACACUCCCAACUCCCAGAUACCGUCUAGAGGAGGGACACCCACAGCCAAAGGGGCGUGCGAGGAUGAGCUGGAGUGCUUCCAUAAAGAGACACGUCUCUCAUCUACAGCUUAGAUGCGCAGUGGUCCAAGGUACAAAUGGAGUCCGCCUACACUCUGACAGCCAUGAACCGACUCCAAGGACAUUGCUGUGCGCUGAGAAGCUGACACAGAGCAGAAUAAAGCACGAAGAUGACCAAACACAGACUGCCUGGUUUAUCCACAUAGCUGACUCUUCUGGAAUACCCUGCAUCUCAUUGCAGUGGAAGAUCAGGAAAUGAGAAAAACCUUAAUCUCAAAACUGGACGCAUCUACUCGAAUCAAGGAAGUCAGUCUCAUUUGAGAACAGCGCUCCCAGGCUCCCCAUCCACACUCGAAAGCUACACAAUGGCUUUUCCAAUCACAAGUCAAAUAAGCAUCUAAAGUUAAAGCCAUAAAGCCAUGAAAUAAAGCAUCAGGGAAUAACCCCACCCUGUCUCCCUUCCAGUUCCUGAGCGAGCGAGAGGUCCCAGGUUAGGGAUCUUGGCAUUUCUCCAUUCCUUUGCAGUCCCUAAACCAGCAAGACAGGAAUUAGCAAGAGCUGCAUCUAAUCUCCUCCAUAGCUUGUGGAUUUGCAUUAUUUACAUAUAUGGGAAGCACCCAUAAUUGAGUAAUUAUUCCAGCAUUUAAAGAAUGCCAAACAAUGAGCCAUUUCUUCUUCAGACCCGAUCUGGCCCAUUUCCGUUUUCCUCUUAGCACACUGUGUAGAAUUACCCAAUGUGUCACUUCCUAGAACACUGGAUUGUUUAUACAAGUAAGCAAGACUUCUUUGGCAGUAUUUAUUUCUCUCAUUUUAGACAUGAUGAUUGCAGCCUUCACAGUGCUCCCUUUUCUAGAAGCUUCUCAAGUGUUGAAUGUGUAUAGAUGCAAUUUUGUGCCUUCCUUUUUAAAAUAAGGGUUAUCCUUUGGGAAGAGGGGUGGGGAGAGAAGGCAGAAUCGAAGAGAGUAAAAAGUCUCGAAGCUCUGUGCUUGCUUGUCUGGCAUGCAAGGAGCGUGUUGGAUUUACUCCUUAACAAGCAUUUUAAAGAAAAUACUCUGCAAGCUAUACUUGAGUGCAUUUUAACAGUUUAGGAAAGAGAAUUUCCCAGAGGGUCUGAGAGGAUGAGAACAAGUAUUUGCAUCUGGAUUAUGGAGGACCUAAGUGGAUUUUUCCUGAGCUGUUUUUCCAUCAGAAAUCUUGGUGGGAG
This 1594-nucleotide long non-coding RNA is filed under the name Equus asinus (donkey). RNAcentral's name for it is "lncRNA (ENSEASG00005025549.1)". Lineage: Eukaryota; Metazoa; Chordata; Mammalia; Perissodactyla; Equidae. The record is from RNAcentral.